UACGUAGGGUGCAAGCGUUAAUCGGAAUUACUGGGCGUAAAGCGUGCGCAGGCGGUUUUGUAAGACAGAGGUGAAAUCCCCGGGCUCAACCUGGGAACUGCCUUUGUGACUGCAAGGCUUGAGUGCGGCAGAGGGGGAUGGAAUUCCGCGUGUAGCAGUGAAAUGCGUAGAUAUUCGCAAGAACACCAGUGGCGAAGGCGGCUCACUGGCCCGAUACUGACGCUGAGGCACGAAAGCGUGGGGAGCAAACAGG
This 253-nucleotide ribosomal RNA is filed under the name uncultured prokaryote. RNAcentral describes it as "partial 16S ribosomal RNA". It matches the Rfam family "Bacterial small subunit ribosomal RNA", at positions 524 to 776 of the family's 1533-position model. The record is from RNAcentral.